This 651-nucleotide ribosomal RNA is filed under the name Triticum aestivum (bread wheat). RNAcentral's name for it is "partial small subunit ribosomal RNA". The record is from RNAcentral. Lineage: Eukaryota; Viridiplantae; Streptophyta; Magnoliopsida; Poales; Poaceae.
CUCCGCAUCGGGGCCUCCAUCUCGGUGGGAUCGGGCACUGACACCUUAUUCUGGUUCGAUAGAUGGGCGGGUGAUACCCCUUUCGCGACCCGCUUCCCGGACCUAUUCUCCAUUGUGGUUGACCCUCGGGUCUCGGUUGAGACAACCCUUAUUGACUUAGGGCGUCUCGCGUUCCGACGACCUUUCGGGCCUGCGGAAAUAGCCACAUGGCAUGAGCUCCUUGACGCCAUUGCACUUCACGAACCGAACCUCGACUCUACGCAUGACCGUGUGGCCUGGCGCUUAGAGCCCUCGGGCAGAUUCUCCACGAAGUCCAUGUACCGCGCCAUCGUACCACCCUGCCCCAGCCCCUUUGAGGUGAUAUGGGCGAUCUGUCUGCCUUUGAAGAUCUGAAUCUUCUUGUGGCAAUGGAUCCGCGGACGAAUCGCGUCCGGCGUUGAGGUGCUGAAACGUAAUGGCCCUAGUGACGGUCUCUGCCCUCUGUGUGGGACCGCGGAAGACUCUAACCACAUCUUCUUAUGUGUCUCAGCCCAAUUUCUCUGGAGUUGCAUGCAGGAGAUGUUCGGUGGCAGUUGGUGCCACACCAACUUCCCAGACCUCUUCGUUGCAGUUCAGGCAUCCCCUCGACGUGUCGCCACAUUAGGUGGCUGA